Non-coding RNA from Potamilus streckersoni, 79 nucleotides. Lineage: Eukaryota; Metazoa; Mollusca; Bivalvia; Unionida; Unionidae. The record is from the annotation of a GenBank genome assembly.
GGUGGCCUAGUGGUUAGAGCGUCCGCCUCGGAUGCGGGAGGUCGUAGAUUCGAUCCCCGGCCAAGUCAUACCAGAGACU